GCCAGCACAAAUGCAACAUUUGCUAUAACCAAUGCAACAAAGAAAGCUAUAGAACUUCAUAGCGGUAUGUGGUGUAAUAACUUCACCCUAAUCAGAUCUGUAUGCACCUCAGACCAGGAGAGGGCCCAAAGUUGCACCCCACCCCCCUUGUCUCACAGCAAGGUGUUCCUCACUGUGCCUUUAACAACAAUGCUUUAGACUGUGUUACUCAGACUCUUCACUUUGCCCUGAAGUAUCCGUGUCCGACACCGUGUCCAAAAAUUGGAUACUUCACUUGGAUACUUCACUUUAGUGUAAAAAAUUGGCAAAAUUGAGAAGUACCCGUGUCGGAUACCGUGUCCAACCGGACAUUCCAUCCGUGUCCGAGUAACACAGGCUUUAGAAGAAAGUAUUUCAGCAAUUGAUGAACUGAUACGUGAAUCUAGUAGCAUCUCUGCAUUACUCUCCUUUGGAACAAUCAACUUUCAUAAAUUUUCUCCAUUGUGCAAGUGCAAUCAAUAAUGUGGUAACUAAUAAUCAAGCAACACCAAAAUAUUGUUUGCUUAUCAUUAAGAAAACGUCAUGUUUCUCUCCAAAUAUCUUUACUUAUGUCUAUAAUCAAGUUCUACACGUCAAUUCAUUAACAGUAAUCACUAAUCACAAAAGCUUAUGCUCACGACUCAUAACAACAAAGAUGCCAAUGGUUAAAGCAACAUUAACCAACUUUAAUUAUUUCAAAGUGAUUGAUUGUGGAUGAGAAGAGCUUUAUAUUUCUGUUUCUUUUCUGUUUUACUUUUUUUGCUGGUGUAUCCUCUUCCCUUUUUUUGGAUGAAUGUAAAGACAAGAAAUGAACAUAUGAAAACUGAAAUAUGACUCGCGUAUUAAUCAGCCACAGGUCUGCCACCUCCAGAUUAUCACUGAGCGUAACCAUAUGAUGAAAGUUGACCUGCCAUAUAUUCAUUGUCACUCCGGCAUGAGAAAAUUAUUUUACAUAGAAUCAGAUGAGUUAUUUUCAAUAUAGCACUCACAUACUUAUUCCACAAAAAUUAACUGUAAAUUUUAAUAAAAAGUAGAAGGAAGAGGUAGGGACAAAAGCCUCAUAUACUUGGAGCUUUUUUUUACCAGGCAUAAAUCUUAAAACUUAAUGCAUUAAGUGAUUGUAAUUAAGCAUGUUUCAUAAGUUUUUAUCAUAUCACAUAAAAAAUUAAGCUUCUCGUAAAAUUUGAACUAAAAAUAAAUAAAAUCUUACGUUUGAAAGAAUAGGCUUAAUGUUCUGAAUGCUGAGUAGACUAAACACCUGUUUGGUAGUCAACUGCAAUCUAUGUUUAUUCACAAUUGCAAGUCACCACUUGUGGUUUAGAAACCCCAAAUUAGCUACAUCCACAUAAUCAUAUUCCCUUUUAUAAACUAUAAUUACACCAAAUAUAUUAGUAAUUUCUAUCAAACAUUUAAUUAAUUGAAAAUGAAAGGUUCCAAUUUUUCACCAGCGAGAUAUGAGGGAGAUUUUUCCCAGCGCGAUUUGUAGAUUGAAGCGUCGUAUCCGAGAGCUAACAGAUUAUCAUUACAUUUUUCAGAUUUUCUUUUUGUCAACAAUUUUUGCAGUGUCAGUGUCGGUGUCAGCUAACAGGUUUCUUUCAUAAACACAAAGAAAGGACCAAGCUCUGUUCAAAAAAAGAAAUAUUUUUCAAAACCAUAAACAACUAAACAAUACUUUGAGGAAACAAUUAAUUUCUAUGUAUAUAUACCUUGAGAAUUUCGCAUGUAUCAGUAGAUGAGAUGUGAUUAAAGUCAAAUUCGUGGUCUGAACGGUCGUUACAAUUGCUGUUGAAGCAAUUGCACCUGUUCCGGCUACACCUCACCGGCUUCGACGAUUGUUUACCGCUUUAAUCCACCCUAAUUUUCAAGGUUAGUUAUCUUAUAACCGGUUGAUUUUUU
Molecule: long non-coding RNA, 1914 nt
Filed under: Panax ginseng (ginseng)
Lineage: Eukaryota; Viridiplantae; Streptophyta; Magnoliopsida; Apiales; Araliaceae
Description: long non-coding RNA (PGIN_LNC008486)
Source: RNAcentral